UUGAUCCUGGCUCAGAGUGAAUGCUUAAGGUAUGCUUUACACAUGCAAGUCUAAAAAUUUGUUUUUAUAAAUAAAUUUUGGCGAAUAGGUGCGUAUUAAUAUGAGAAAUUAACCCGCAAAAACGUAAUAAUUUAUAAUUUCGUAUAAUAAUAGUUUUUAGUUUUGUUGAAAAUGAAACUAUUCUAGUUUAAAAAGAUUUUUUAAUCGAUUGCGGACAAGCUCGUAUAGGAUUCAGAUUGUUGGUAGGGUAAAGGCCUACCAAGUCGAUUAUCUUUAGCUGGUCUGGGAGGAUGGUCAGCCACAUUAGAUCUGGAAAACGUCUAACUAUCGAAGUGGUAGCAGCAGUGGGGAAUCUUGGACAAUGUGUUAACACACGAUCCAGCAAUAUCUUAGAGACUAAGAAGGUUUGAAAAAGACUGAAAGUUUUAGAAUAAUAAAAGAACAAGGUAUUUACUUGUACUUACUUUUAUUAUGUAAGCUCCGACUAACUUCGUGCCAGCAGUCG
This 505-nucleotide ribosomal RNA is filed under the name uncultured bacterium. Its description in RNAcentral is "bacterial SSU rRNA". It matches the Rfam family "Bacterial small subunit ribosomal RNA", at positions 13 to 517 of the family's 1533-position model. The record is from RNAcentral.